RNAcentral lists this ribosomal RNA (440 nucleotides) under uncultured bacterium. Its description in RNAcentral is "partial 16S ribosomal RNA". It matches the Rfam family "Bacterial small subunit ribosomal RNA", at positions 338 to 795 of the family's 1533-position model. The record is from RNAcentral.
CCUACGGGUGGCAGCAGUGGGGGAUAUUGCACAAUGGGGGAAACCCUGAUGCAGCGACGCCGCGUGAGCGAUGAAGUAUUUCGGUAUGUAAAGCUCUAUCAGCAGGGAAGAAAAUGACGGUACCUGACUAAGAAGCCCCGGCUAACUACGUGCCAGCAGCCGCGGUAAUACGUAGGGGGCAAGCGUUAUCCGGAUUUACUGGGUGUAAAGGGAGCGUAGACGGCAGUGCAAGUCUGAAGUGAAAGGCAAGGGCUCAACCCUUGGACUGCUUUGGAAACUGUGCUGCUGGAGUGUCGGAGAGGCAAGUGGAAUUCCUAGUGUAGCGGUGAAAUGCGUAGAUAUUAGGAGGAACACCGAUUGCGAAGGCAGCUCACUGGACUGCAACUGACACUGAGGCUCGAAAGUGUGGGUAUCAAACAGGAUUAGAUACCCGGGUAGUC